GAUGAACGCUGGCGGCGUGCUUAACACAUGCAAGUCGAACGGUGAAGCAGGAGCUUGCUCUUGUGGAUCAGUGGCGAACGGGUGAGUAACACGUGAGCAACCUGCCCCUGACUCUGGGAUAAGCGCUGGAAACGGCGUCUAAUACUGGAUAUGUGAUGUGACCGCAUGGUCUGCAUCUGGAAAGAAUUUCGGUGGGGGAUGGGCUCGCGGCCUAUCAGCUUGUUGGUGAGGUAAUGGCUCACCAAGGCGUGUAGGGGUAGCCGGCCGGAGAGGGUGCCCGGACCAACUGGGACUGGGACACGCCCCAGACUCCUACGGGAGGCAGCGGUGGGAAAUAUUGCACAAUGGGCGGAAGCCUGAUGCAGCAACGCCGGGUGAGGGAUGACGGCCUUCGGUUUGUAACCCUUUUUUAGCAGGGAAGAAGCAAAAGUGCCGGUCCCUGCAAAAAAAGCACCGGCUAACUACGUGCCAGCCGCCGCCGUAA
This 484-nucleotide ribosomal RNA is filed under the name uncultured bacterium. Its description in RNAcentral is "partial 16S ribosomal RNA". It matches the Rfam family "Bacterial small subunit ribosomal RNA", at positions 28 to 523 of the family's 1533-position model. The record is from RNAcentral.